ACGAACGCUGGCGGCGUGCUUCACCCAUGCCAGUCGAGCGGUGAAGCCCUUCGGGGUGGGUCAGUGGCGAACGGGUGAGUAACACGUGAGCAACCUGCCCCUGGCUCUGGGACAACCACUGGAAACGGUGGCUAAUACCGGAUACGACCCGCCUCGGCAUCGAGUGUGGGUGGAAAGUUUUUCGGCUGGGGAUGGGCUCGCGGCCUAUCAGCUUGUUGGUGAGGUGAAGGCUCACCAAGGCGACGACGGGUAGCCGGCCUGAGAGGGCGACCGGCCACACUGGGACUGAGACACGGCCCAGACUCCUACGGGAGGCAGCAGUGGGGAAUAUUGCACAAUGGGCGAAAGCCUGAUGCAGCGACGCCGCGUGAGGGAUGACGGCCUUCGGGUUGUAAACCUCUUUCAGCUCCGAAGAAGCGAAAGUGACGGUAGGAGCAGAAGAAGCACCGGCUAACUACGUG
This 461-nucleotide ribosomal RNA is filed under the name uncultured bacterium. Its description in RNAcentral is "partial 16S ribosomal RNA". It matches the Rfam family "Bacterial small subunit ribosomal RNA", at positions 29 to 507 of the family's 1533-position model. The record is from RNAcentral.